Molecule: long non-coding RNA, 394 nt
Filed under: Populus tremula
Lineage: Eukaryota; Viridiplantae; Streptophyta; Magnoliopsida; Malpighiales; Salicaceae
Description: long non-coding RNA (PTRE_LNC003319)
Source: RNAcentral
AAUACCCAGUGUCCACUAAUUUAUAACAAAAGAGGUAAAUGGAUGUGUGUUCAAAGGUGGUUGAGAGGCAAGAAAUGAAAAGGCUUAGUUGGAUGUGGGACCUUAUGAGUUUGCAAACCAAUUUACCUCAAACACAGCUUGUCACAACCAUCAUGAAUAGCUUUGGACCACAGCAUCACUAACGCAAAAUACAUUUAUUUACAUCUAUACCCUGUACCUUCCAAUUCUUAAUUCAAGACAACCACACCGAAUCCAAUUGUUUAAUUUGUUGGGGGCACCUGAUGAACUGUAGUUACAAGUGCAUUUCACAAUGGCGCGUUUAAGUGUAUUCAUGCAUUAUUUCUUAUCCAUGGGAGGGAAAUUAAGCCACAAUAGUUAAAUAAAUCUAUCAAGA